RNAcentral lists this ribosomal RNA (520 nucleotides) under uncultured prokaryote. Its description in RNAcentral is "bacterial SSU rRNA". It matches the Rfam family "Bacterial small subunit ribosomal RNA", at positions 394 to 905 of the family's 1533-position model. The record is from RNAcentral.
CUCCUACAUGCUUAAAACCGGGGGGGGAUAGUCAAAGUCUUUGAGCGAGGAGGAGGCUACUGAUUCUAAUUUUCUUGGAUAGUGGACGUUACUCGCACAAUAAGCACCGGCUAACUCUGUGCCAGCAGCCGCGGUAAUACAAAGGGUGCGAGCGUUAAUCGAAUUUACUGGGCGUAAAGCGUGCGUAGGCGGCUUUUUAAGUCGGAUGUGAAAUCCCCGACCUUAACUUGGAAAUUGCAUUCGAUACUGGGAAACUACAUUAUGGAAGAGGAUGGUACAAUUCCAUGUGUAGCGGUGAAAUGCGUAAAGAUCUGGAGGAAUACCGAUGGCGAAGGCAGCCAUCUGGCCUAAUACUGACCCUGAGGUACAAAAGCAUGGUGGAGCAAACACGAUUAAAUACCCUGGUAUUCCAUGCCGUAAACGAUGUCUACUAGCCGUUGGGGGCCUUCGAGGCUUAACUGGCGCAGCUAACGCGAUAAGUACACCGCCUGGGGAGUACGGUCCCAAGAUAAAACUCAAA